RNAcentral lists this ribosomal RNA (459 nucleotides) under uncultured bacterium. RNAcentral describes it as "partial 16S ribosomal RNA". It matches the Rfam family "Bacterial small subunit ribosomal RNA", at positions 338 to 795 of the family's 1533-position model. The record is from RNAcentral.
CCUACGGGAGGCAGCAGUGAGGAAUAUUGGUCAAUGGGCGCGAGCCUGAACCAGCCAAGUAGCGUGAAGGAUGACUGCCCUACGGGUUGUAAACUUCUUUUAUAAAGGAAUAAAGUGAGGCACGUGUGCCGUUUUGUAGGUACUCUAUGAAUAAGGAUCGGCUAACUCCGUGCCAGCAGCCGCGGUAAUACGGAGGGAGCGAGCGUUGUCCGGAAUUAUUGGGGUUAAAGGGAGCGUAGGCGGGACGUCAAGUUGGGGGUAAAAUCUACGGGCUCAACCCGUAGCCGCGGUCAAAACUGGAGUUCUUGAGUGGGGUAGAGGCAGGCGGAAUGCGUGGUGUAGCGGUGAAAUGCGUAGAUAUUAGGAAGAACACCGAUGGCGAAGGCAGCAUACUGGGGCUUUACUGACGCUGAAGCUCGAAAGUGUGGGGAGCGAACAGGAUUAGAUACCCUGGUAGUC